RNAcentral lists this small nucleolar RNA (119 nucleotides) under Otolemur garnettii (small-eared galago). RNAcentral's name for it is "Small nucleolar RNA U3 (ENSOGAG00000028695.1)". It matches the Rfam family "Small nucleolar RNA U3", at positions 94 to 214 of the family's 219-position model. From Rfam's summary of the family: Small nucleolar RNAs (snoRNAs) are involved in the processing and modification of rRNA in the nucleolus. The record is from RNAcentral. Lineage: Eukaryota; Metazoa; Chordata; Mammalia; Primates; Galagidae.
AAUGCCCUAUCCUGAGCGUGAAGCCAGCUCUUGGUGUUGCUUUAGUGCAAUUGCUAUUUGCCAUUGAUGAUCGUUCUUCUCUCCCUUUGGGGGAGUAAGAGGGAGAGAACGCAGUCUGA